GUCAAUAGCUGACUUUAGAUAGGGC
RNAcentral lists this non-coding RNA (25 nucleotides) under Mus musculus (house mouse). Lineage: Eukaryota; Metazoa; Chordata; Mammalia; Rodentia; Muridae. The record is from RNAcentral.